AUGGAUCUCACGAUCCAGUUGAUAGAACAGAUUACCAAAAGUUUCUCUGACGAUCAAAAAAUUGGUUGUGGUACGUAUGGGGAAGUUUACAAGGGAGUGCACAAUGGUGAAGAAAUUGCCGUUAAGAAGCUUUACAACAUGCAAGGAAUUGAUGACACGGAAUUUACAAAUGAGUUCCGUAAUCUUAUGAAGGUCAAGCAUCCGAACAUUGUACGCUUAAUUGGCUACUGCUAUGAAAUACGACAUAGACAUGUCGAGAUGAAUGGAGACCUUGUUUUCGCUAAAACAAUAGAGCAACUUCUCUGCUUCGAAUAUAUGGAGGGUGGAAGCCUUGCUAAGCAUAUUUCUGAUGAAUCCUGUGGUCUUGAUUAGCCCACUCGAUACGAAAUCAUUAAGGGAAUUUGUGAGGGUCUAAAUCAUCUUCAUAAUGGGCGGAGUGAUUAUAUUUAUCAUCUGGAUUUGAAACCGGAUAAUAUACUGUUGGAUAAAAACAUGAUGCCUAGGAUUGCAGAUUUCGGCAUGUCAAGACUCUUAGCUUCAUCCAAAACGCAUAUAACUCAAACUCUGAAAGGAACACUAGGAUACAUGCCACCAGAAUUCAUUGACAAGCGCAGAAUCACAAAGAAGUACGAUGUGUUCAGUGUUGGUGUCAUAAUUUUACAAAUAAUGGCUGGAGCUCAGGGCUACAACAAUUGUUGUGAGAUGACUUCUCCCCAACAGUUUAUCGAGCUUGUACAUGAGAACUGGAAGAAAAGGCUUCAAGGGAUGCCAAUGCAGGAAAAUACUUACUUAAUUGACAUCCUAGCAGUGCAGAGAUGUAUUGAACUCGCAGUGAGAUGUGUGAAGGCCGAUCCCGUAAAAAGGCCUAGUAUAAUGGACGUCGUCGAUGAACUGAAUAAACUAGAUGCUGACAUUAAGAAUAUAUCACUUCCAGGCCAGGAAACUCAUCAAAACUUUGGGAACUUCAGUAAUUUGGAAACUUCUGACUCCAAAGAUCUUGAGCUUGAUUCAGCCCUCGAGCUACGCUUCCCAUUUGAGCUAAACAGGGACAUAUCAUGUUGUAUGCAGCUAAUCAACAAGACAAACGAGUUCGUUGCAUUCAACAUCAGAACCAAUAAAAUGAAGUACAUUGCACGGCCAAAUAACGGGAAUAUGGCACCAUAUUCCAAGAUUUAUAUCACAUUUACAUUGCUGGCACAAGACAAGGAGCCACCCUAUAUGCGGUGCCAAGACAUGCUCAUUGUGCAGAGCACUAGGCUCAGCAUGGAAUCCGGUGAUGAGAUCACUGACGAGUUCUUCGAGAAGGCUGUGGCAAGUAGGGUGGUGGAUGAGGUGAAGUUGCCGAUUGUCUAUGUUGUGUAG
This 1362-nucleotide ribosomal RNA is filed under the name Triticum aestivum (bread wheat). Its description in RNAcentral is "partial small subunit ribosomal RNA". The record is from RNAcentral. Lineage: Eukaryota; Viridiplantae; Streptophyta; Magnoliopsida; Poales; Poaceae.